GUGUAAGUUCACAUCUAUAUAUGAUGAAACAGCGAAGCGCUCAAUAAAUCAGUUAUUGUCUGUUCGAUGGUAUAAACUAUGGAUAACUGUGGUAAAUCUAUAGCUAAUACAUGUACGAACUCAAUGCUGGAAACAGUUUUGGGGGCAUUUAUUAGUCAAAAACCAAUCACAAAAUUUUUGUGAAGUUGAAACUGAAUAACUUUGCAUACCGAAUGGGGUGACCUGUCGGUAGUUCGAUUGAAUUUCUGCCCUAUCAUACUUGUUGUUGGGGUAGUGGCCCAACAAGGUGUUGACGGGUAACGGGGAAUCAGGGUUCGAUUCCGGAGAGGGAGCCUGAGAAACGGCUACCACGUCUAAGGAAGGCAGCAGGCACGAAAAUUACCCAAUCCGGUCACCGGGAGGUAGUGACGAGAAAUAACAAAACGUGCUAAAUUGGUACGUUAUUGGAAUGAUGUCAAUAUAGAAACUUGGCCGAGUAACAACUGGAGGGCAAGUCUGGUGCCAGCAGCCGCGGUAAUACCAGCUCCAGUAGUGUAUAUCAAAAUUGUUGCGGUUAAAACGCUCGUAGUUGGAUGAUAAAAACCUGCAAUCACAAAAAAGAUUCUUUUUUGUGGUUGUAGGUUUUUUUAUAACAAAUGCUACGCCUAACUUAAUUGGUAGGCGUAGUCUAUUUGUUUAGCGUGCCUUGAAUAAAGCAGAGUGCUCAAAUCAAGCUAAACGCUAGAAUGUAAUAGCAUGGAACGAACAGCCAGAUUCUGGUUCAGUUGGUUGGUCAACCGAACAUGUCUUAAAUUAUUAUAUACGUGUUGUCAGUGUAAAUAUAACAGUUAAUCUUUAUAUUUGCAUUAGAUAGCAAUUAUAUAUUAAUCGGGCAUGUUUGGAUCUGAACCGGGUCAUGAUUAAAAGGAACAUUUGAGGGCGUUAGUAUUCGAUGGCGAGAGGUGAAAUUCAAUGACCCAUUGAGGACUCACUAAUGCGAAGGCAUUCGCCAAGAAUGUUUUCAUUAAUCAAGAACGAAUGUUGGAGGUUCGAAGACGAUCAGAUACCGUCGUAGUUCCAUACAGUAAACUAUGCCAUCACGGGAUCAGCUCGUGAUUUUAAUACAAGUUGGUCUCCCAGGGAAACCUUAAGAUUUCGGGUUCCGGGGAGAGUACGGUCGCAAGGCUGAAAUUUAAAGGAAUUGACGGAAGGACACCACCAGGAGUGGAGCCUGCGGCUCAAUUUGACUCAACACGGGGAAACUUACCAGGUCCAGACAUUGAAAGGAAUGACAGACUGAUAGAUCUUUCAUGAUACAAUGAUUGGUGGUGCAUGGCCGUUCUUAGUUGGUGGAGCGAUCUGUCAGGUCUAUUCCGGUAACGAGCGAGACCACAAUCUUUAAUUUAUCGCUUUGUUCAUCACAACUUUUGCACUACCUUGUAAACUAAUGAAUGCACCUUUGUGCUGUGUAUAUGGGAAACUGUAUGCGCAGUAUAAAGUGUUGGAUUUUUUUUACAAGGUGGGGUAAAAGUGGAACAGAGAUAUUAGAGAGACUACCGUGCGAUUUUUAAAGCCGGGGGAAGCGUGGCAAUAACAGGUCUGUGAUGCCCUUCGAUGUUCUGGGCUGCACGCGCGCUACAAUGGCAGUGACACAAAGUUACUGCUCCGAGAGGAGUGGUUAAACCCAAAUCGCUGUCAUACUUUGGACUGAGCCUUGUAAUAAUUGCUCACGAAAAAGGAAUUCCUCGUAAGCGUAAGUCAUCAACUUGCGUUGAAUACGUCUCUGUCCUUUGUACACACCGCCCGUCGCUACUACUGAUUAGAUCGGAUUCCGAAAAGUAGUGAUUUGUACGAACCUUUCGGUUUGUGUAAAGAAUCACUUUAAGGAAUUGAUUUGAAAAGAAGUAAAAGUCGUAACAAGGUUUCCGUAGGAGAACACAGGAGGAAAAA
Molecule: ribosomal RNA, 1929 nt
Filed under: Latyspora scomberomori
Lineage: Eukaryota; Metazoa; Cnidaria; Myxozoa; Bivalvulida; Sinuolineidae
Description: partial 18S small subunit ribosomal RNA
Rfam family: Eukaryotic small subunit ribosomal RNA
Source: RNAcentral